AGUGGACGCUGGCGGUAGGCCUAACACAUGCAAGUCGAACGGCAGCACAGUAAGAGCUUGCUCUUACGGGUGGCGAGUGGCGGACGGGUGAGGAAUACAUCGGAAUCUACUUUUUCGUGGGGGAUAACGUAGGGAAACUUACGCUAAUACCGCAUACGACCUACGGGUGAAAGCAGGGGAUCUUCGGACCUUGCGCGAUUGCAUGAGCCGAUGUCGGAUUAGCUAGUUGGCGGGGUAAAGGCCCACCAAGGCGACGAUCCGUAGCUGGUCUGAGAGGAUGAUCAGCCACACUGGAACUGAGACACGGUCCAGACUCCUACGGGAGGCAGCAGUGGGGAAUAUUGGACAAUGGGCGCAAGCCUGAUCCAGCCAUACCGCGUGUGUGAAGAAGGCCUUCGGGUUGUAAAGCCCUUUUGUUGGGAAAGAAAAGCAGCAGGUUAAUACCCCGCUGUUCUGACGGUACCCAAAGAAUAAGCACCGGCUAACUUCGUG
Molecule: ribosomal RNA, 492 nt
Filed under: uncultured bacterium
Lineage: Bacteria
Description: partial 16S ribosomal RNA
Rfam family: Bacterial small subunit ribosomal RNA
Source: RNAcentral